GGGCCCGCAUUAGGUAGGAACAUGUGGUUUAAUUCGAUGAUACGCGAGGAACCUUACCCGGGGAAUUGCAGAGACUGCGAAUAUAGUUGAAAGAUUAUAGCCGCAAGGUCUCUGUGAAGGUGCUGCAUGGUUGUCGUCAGCUCGUGCCGUGGGCUUAAGUGCCAUAACGAGCGCAACCCUAAUCAUUCCUGCACAGGUCAUGCUGAGGACUCUAGUGAGACUGCCGUCGUAAGAUGUGAGGAAGGUGGGGAUGACGUCAAAUCAGCACGGCCCUUACGUCCGGGGCUACACACGUGUUACAAUGGGGGGUACAGAGGGCAGCUACCGGGCGACCGGAUGCCAAUCCCAAAAACCUCUCUCAGUUCGGAUCGAAGUCUGCAACCCGACUUGACUACUG
This 397-nucleotide ribosomal RNA is filed under the name uncultured bacterium. Its description in RNAcentral is "bacterial SSU rRNA". It matches the Rfam family "Bacterial small subunit ribosomal RNA", at positions 917 to 1328 of the family's 1533-position model. The record is from RNAcentral.